UAAUAUUAAUUAUGGUUAGAAUUGAAAUUUUUGAAAAGAGAGAAGGAGGUUGGAAGUAUGGGAUAAAACACCAAAAAAAAGUGUUGCUCCAUUCACCUCUCCAAGUGAGUCUGCACCUCCUCACUAUUUUAAUUUGGGUGUUGCUCCCUCCACCUCCACCAAUGCUCCCUCCACCUCCCCAAACUUUUUCAAAAAAAUUUUAAUUACAAAAGUACCCAUUUUUAUUUUAAUUAUAUUUAUUAUUUUGCACAGUCCCACACCCCCCUCCCCCUCCCAAUUCUCCCAAACUCAUUUUUUCAAAUCCGUUUGAAAUCACUCCAACUCCGUCCGUCCC
Molecule: long non-coding RNA, 334 nt
Filed under: Vigna radiata
Lineage: Eukaryota; Viridiplantae; Streptophyta; Magnoliopsida; Fabales; Fabaceae
Description: long non-coding RNA (VRAD_LNC008104)
Source: RNAcentral